UAGAUUUUGGAGGCAGUUUAAAUCAGGGCAUGUUCUAUUAGGAGACAAAACUUGUGCUCAGAUAAUUUUACAACACAUUAAUUGUUGUGUGUCCAGCUCUCAGAGGUAGAAAUGUACGGCUGAUCUCUGUUUCUGAUCAACAGAAGUUAUGCAAACUCUCUCACACCAGAUGUGGAGCAACACAGACCUGGACCAGCUUAAACGUGGGAAAUGCAAGAUAACUUGCUACCUGCUCGUGCACGACCGGAGAACAGGUGGAUUCAGUUACACCUUUAUGCUGAGCGAAGCAGACGGACUUCCACCUGCAGAGUGAACACAGUGUCCGACUCAGCACUCACCUGCAGGGUGCCAAGACUCUUGAUUUUACUUCCUGCAUCCUCUGCAUUCACUCCAACAACACGGUGGAGAUGAAAUAAGGUGCACUAGGGAGUAAUUGGGUCGUGAUUCAUUGCUGCUGCUGCAUUAACCUCUCCCACCACAUUAUUCAUCCUUUAAUCCAGACACAUUCAUCAGCUGUUUGUGAUUAUUAUAAACAGAACAAAUAACACACACAGAUCAAAGUGAUAUUAAAGUGCAGACAGAAGGAACUGAAUAAACUGCUGAGUCAUCC
Molecule: long non-coding RNA, 610 nt
Organism: Notolabrus celidotus (New Zealand spotty)
Lineage: Eukaryota; Metazoa; Chordata; Actinopteri; Labriformes; Labridae
Exons: 3
Source: RefSeq, a predicted model, not a curated record